UACGGGGGGUGCGAGCGUUGUUCGGAAUUAUUGGGCGUAAAGCGCGUGCAGGCGGUUUUGUAAGUCUGAUGUGAAAGCCCCAGGCUCAACCUGGGAAGUGCAUUGGAUACUGCAAGACUUGAGUUCGGGAGAGGACAGUGGAAUUCCUGGAGUAGGGGUGAAAUCCGUAGAUAUCAGGAAGAACACCGGUGGCGAAGGCGGCUGUCUGGACCGAUACUGACGCUGAGAUGCGAAAGCGUGGGUAGCAAACAGG
This 253-nucleotide ribosomal RNA is filed under the name uncultured bacterium. RNAcentral describes it as "partial 16S ribosomal RNA". It matches the Rfam family "Bacterial small subunit ribosomal RNA", at positions 524 to 776 of the family's 1533-position model. The record is from RNAcentral.